AGAGUUUUAUCAUGGCUCAGAACGAACGCUGGCGGCGUGCCUAACACAUGCAAGUCGAGCGCGAAUAGGGGCAACCCUUAGUAGAGCGGCGCACGGGUGCGUAACACGUGGAUAAUCUGCCUGAGUGCUCGGGAUAACCAGUCGAAAGAUUGGCUAAUACCGGAUAAGCCCACGGUUUCUUCGGAGACUGAGGGAAAAGGUGGCCUCUGCAUGCAAGCUAUCACAUUCAGAUGAGUCCGCGGCCCAUCAGCUAGUUGGCGGGGUAAUGGCCCACCAAGGCGACGACGGGUAGCUGGUCUGAGAGGACGAUCAGCCACACUGGAACUGAGACACGGUCCAGACUCCUACGGGAGGCAGCAGUGGGGAAUUUUGCGCAAUGGGCGAAAGCCUGACGCAGCAACGCCGCGUGUGUGAUGAAGGUCUUUGGAUUGUAAAGCACUUUCGACCGGGAAGAAACCCUGUUGGCUAACAUCCAACAGCUUGACGGUACCGGGAGAAGAAGCACCGGCUAACUCUGUGCCAGCAGCCGCGG
RNAcentral lists this ribosomal RNA (532 nucleotides) under Myxococcus xanthus. RNAcentral describes it as "bacterial SSU rRNA". It matches the Rfam family "Bacterial small subunit ribosomal RNA", at positions 8 to 520 of the family's 1533-position model. The record is from RNAcentral. Lineage: Bacteria; Pseudomonadati; Myxococcota; Myxococcia; Myxococcales; Myxococcaceae.